CCUACGGGAGGCAGCAGUAGGGAAUUUUCGUCAAUGGGGGGAACCCUGAACGAGCAAUGCCGCGUGAGUGAGGAAGGUCUUUCGGAUCGUAAAGCUCUGUUGUAAGAGAAAAACGGCACUCAUAGGGAAUGAUGAGUGAGUGAUGGUAUCUUACCAGAAAGUCACGGCUAACUACGUGCC
This 180-nucleotide ribosomal RNA is filed under the name uncultured bacterium. RNAcentral describes it as "partial 16S ribosomal RNA". It matches the Rfam family "Bacterial small subunit ribosomal RNA", at positions 338 to 509 of the family's 1533-position model. The record is from RNAcentral.